CUUAACUUAUUACAUUAAAAAUCAGAUUGUCCUUGUUAUAUUAUCAAGAUAGUACUAUUAACUUGCAUGAUCAGUACGUAGUACUUUUAUUACAAGUAUGCUUAUAGUUUGAGAAAUUUGAAACACAUAUGAGUUAGUCAAGGACAGUCCAUAUUAAUUGAUUGCAGAUGCACUGAACGUAUAGUUUCUUCUUGGGGAUCAUAAUUAAGGUUGCUUCACAUAACUUUAAUGGAUAUAUGCAUAUAUUAUUUGCAUCGAUCCUCAGCCCCUUUUAACUUAACAGUAUGUUAAGAGGACAUGAAGUUGCCUAAAAGCAGUUUUAAACUUUCAUGUUUGUGCUCGAUCGCUUCAAUCACAAAAGCUAUAUAUAUCUAGGCUGUUCAGUUGUACCUCCGGAGAUGAACAAACUCUAUACUGUUCUGAAUGGGUCUCGAUCUUCGAUAUAUAUGUUAUUAUUUAAUUGUCACGAAAUAAUUGUUUGGAGCUCACUUGCUUCACACGGUAUGACCAGGACCCCUGGUUGAUCAAAUCCAAAUUCUUGUGCUGCCGCUUCCAGAAGCUUACAAAUGAAGGAUGUCUUAGAUAAUAUAAUGCAACUUGGAAUUUCUUCAGCUCAUUGUUGCCUAUGCUGAGCACAGAGAAAUACCCUUCCUUCAGAUUUUCCCCCACAUCUACGAGGCUGUUGCUAAUUUUGGCUUUUCCACUGCUUAGGUAGAGAAAUCCUAGUCGGAUUUUCUUCACUGCAUGCUUAAUCCUUAUGAAGGACCACCUUAUCUUCCUGCAUCUCGUUUUAGACUGAUUUAUAUGCCGUGAGCUCCUUUUUCUCAAGAAAUUCAAAAUGUGUGCUUUUUGUAAUGGGGGAGCUUCUGUUUGAUUGAUUGUGAGAGAUGAAGGUGAUCUCAAUUUUGGUUAUUAUAUAUAUAGUACUGUCUUGAUUGUUU
RNAcentral lists this long non-coding RNA (941 nucleotides) under Panax ginseng (ginseng). Its description in RNAcentral is "long non-coding RNA (PGIN_LNC011572)". The record is from RNAcentral. Lineage: Eukaryota; Viridiplantae; Streptophyta; Magnoliopsida; Apiales; Araliaceae.